This is a non-coding RNA of Vicia faba (fava bean), 216 nucleotides long. Lineage: Eukaryota; Viridiplantae; Streptophyta; Magnoliopsida; Fabales; Fabaceae. The record is from the annotation of a GenBank genome assembly.
AUGUUUCGUCUAUUGAGAAAUUUUACACAAACAAGAGCAGUUCAAGUUCAGAAUUCCAUGUUAAGCGUAGUUAGAUUCUCUUUCAAAACAACUCGUGGUGGAUCGAGAAGAUCGGACCUCAGUAAAGGGGGUGGUGGACAAAUUAAUAGCAUUAAUGGAACAAAGGAGGAGACGAGGAGUUUGACAAACAACUCCAAAAAUUCAGUUUCAGAAUGA